UACAAACUAAAAGCAACUAUAUAUAUAUAUUACAUUUCUAUCAGUCCUUUUAAGCCCCUCCCUUUAACUUUAGUCCAGGAAGAGCCUUUCAAGGCUGAUAUGCAACGCAGUCUCUCUCUUGAUGGGAAGAGCAC
Long non-coding RNA from Neopelma chrysocephalum (saffron-crested tyrant-manakin), 134 nucleotides. RefSeq lists it as uncharacterized. The transcript has 3 exons. The record is from RefSeq and is a predicted model, not a curated record. NCBI's taxonomy places the organism in Eukaryota, Metazoa, Chordata, Aves, Passeriformes, Pipridae.